Ostrea edulis (European flat oyster) is the source of this 1348-nucleotide long non-coding RNA. RefSeq lists it as uncharacterized. The transcript has 2 exons. NCBI's taxonomy places the organism in Eukaryota, Metazoa, Mollusca, Bivalvia, Ostreida, Ostreidae. The record is from RefSeq and is a predicted model, not a curated record.
UCAAGUUUGUUAAAAUGAGGGACAACGCCCUUCUCCAAGAGGAGGAAAUAGCGAAAAUACACUGACAAAUUCUAAAAUUCUUCUCCAGAACCAGCAGUCCAAUUUUAAUCAAACUUGGUACAAAUUCUCUUUGGGUAAAGGGGAUUUAAGUUAGUUCAAAUGAAAAACUGUACCCACUUCAAAAGGGAGAUAAUCAUAAAAAUGCAAAAUAGAAUGUGGUCAUUUAAAUAUCUUCUGAAGAACCACUGGGCCAGAAAAGUUCAAAUUUACAUGGAAGCUUUCUGACAUAGUGCAAAUUUACGUUUGUAACAAUCAUGAUCUUCGGCGGUAAGGUUAGGGUUAGGCCACAAUAAGAAGUUUUACAAGCGAAUAUAUAGGAAAAUCUUUAAAACAUUCUUCUGAAGAACCUUUGGACCAGAGAAGUUUAUAUUUGCAUGGCAGCGUACUCACAUAGUGCAGAUUCAAGUGGGUUUUUUUUUCAAAACCGUGACCCCCGUGGUAGGUUGGGGUCACAAUAGGGAAUCAAAAUUUUACAGGGGAAUAUAUAGGGAAAAUCUUUAAAUAUGGUUGAAGGUGACUCAGGUGAACGAUGUGGCCGAUGGGCCUCUUGUUUGAAAUUUUAAUUGAUUUUUUUGGUUGCUCAGUGGUAGAGCUUAUGCUUUGUGAUCGGAGGUCGUGAACUCGAUCGAGCCCCGUUCGUUCCAUGGCCAUGUUAAACGUAAGACGUAAAAAUACUAUAGAGGUUACCCCUUCGCUGAACCCUCCGAAUGAGGAACCGGCUCCGGUUAUCUUUUCAUUAGGGGGCGCCACAGACAAACUCGGCCCUGAAUCGGAAUACCCUCGCGCUUUAUCUGUAGUUACCGAUCGAAGAAAAACGUAAACAAUCUGCUGUCAAACACAUCCUUUUGAAACAUGUCCGGAACUUGCUGUUGUGUGCCGUAUUGUUGUAAUAGGGGUGGUCAUCAUGUAUUUCCAUCAGACUCGUUAAGAAGAAAAGCCUGGAUUCACGCAAUUAAACGUGGUGAAACUCGUUUUCAAAGCUGUACUCCGUCAACUUUUCCUGUUGUUUGCAGAGCGCAUUUUAUAUCGGACGACUAUUUGACUGAAACUGAACAUGGAAUGACUCCUGUGCUACUGUGAUAGAGGACAGAAAGAUAUCCAGCAAACGUGUACACAUUGAAAGAAUUAUUGGACUUGCCAAAACUUUCAAAAUACUGACAGAACCUAUGAAUAGCUCUGAAACAAAACUUUCCUGUAAAAUUAUUUAUGUCUGUUUUAAGAAUUGCAUAGUGCCGUCUUAUGCAUAAUUCACCAUUAAAAAUUGAUGUGAUUAAAGAAUAAACCUUUA